This is a non-coding RNA of Triticum aestivum (bread wheat), 105 nucleotides long. The record is from Rfam. Lineage: Eukaryota; Viridiplantae; Streptophyta; Magnoliopsida; Poales; Poaceae.
UAUGGCAGUGACGAUUUGCAAAUAUUCAAGCUGAACAGACCAAAUCACAGGUCGUCUCUCUUGAGAUUGAUUUGUAUGCCGAUUAUCCCGCUGAACCGAGCCAUC